This 465-nucleotide ribosomal RNA is filed under the name uncultured Sporobacterium sp. RNAcentral describes it as "bacterial SSU rRNA". It matches the Rfam family "Bacterial small subunit ribosomal RNA", at positions 8 to 479 of the family's 1533-position model. Lineage: Bacteria; Bacillati; Bacillota; Clostridia; Lachnospirales; Lachnospiraceae. The record is from RNAcentral.
AGAGUUUGAUCAUGGCUCAGGAUGAACGCUGGAGGCGUGCUUAACACAUGCAAGUCGAGCGGAAGUAGAGGUAGCUUGCUACCGCUACUUUAGCGGCGGACGGGUGAGUAACACGUAGACAAUCUGCCGAUAACAGAAGAAUAACAUUCAGAAAUGGAUGCUAAUACUUCAUAAGCCCCCAGGUACGCAUGUACAAGAGGGAAAAGGGCGUAAGCUUGGUUAUUGAGGAGUCUGCGGCUGAUUAGCUAGUUGGUAGGGUAAAGGCCUACCAAGGCGACGAUCAGUAGCCGGCCUGAGAGGGUGAACGGCCACAUUGGGACUGAGACACGGCCCAAACUCCUACGGGAGGCAGCAGUGGGGAAUAUUGCACAAUGGAGGAAACUCUGAUGCAGCGACGCCUCGUGAAGGAAGAAGGUUUUCGGAUUGUAAACUUCUAUCGAUGGGGAAGAAAAAAAUGACGGUACC